This is a non-coding RNA of Vicugna pacos (alpaca), 1357 nucleotides long. Lineage: Eukaryota; Metazoa; Chordata; Mammalia; Artiodactyla; Camelidae. The record is from RefSeq and is a predicted model, not a curated record.
AGUGACUGCAGGUAGGUCAAGGGGGAACACUUGGAAUAGUACUUCUGUUCAUAAGCAUCCUUAUUUCCUGUAUUUCUAACUCACCAGGGUUCAAAAAACUCUUAAUUCUGUCACAUGAAGACACCCACGGCGGGGACAGCAGCACCAGGAUCAGACUGCAAGCUGAUAUGAGCAGCACCACUGCUGGGUGGGAAAGCCAGCUGGGGCUGUCUUCUGCUUUGGAGCCUGAGGACUCACGCUUAAUACUCUUCAGGAAAACCAGAGCCCGAGUAUCUGCAUUCUGACCCCAUCGCACAGAGGUGGAGAUAGGCAACAGAACGCCAGUGUGAUGAUUUAGAAAUCAAAACAGAUCUGUCCCGGACUGAAAUCCUCCAUUCACAUCACACCUGUAUCUUGCCUCUGUGGUCAAGCAAUGUCAGAGGCCCAGGCAUAACUAGAAAUAAUUUAUUGAUUUGCCAUAAGAAAUCGCAGGCUCUGGAAUUGGAAUUUCUCAGAAUCUCUGUGAUAAGCACAUUUUUUCCGGGUAAGCUAACCUACAUGGGAAGGAGCAGGUUGCUCGUUGAAAGUGGAGUCAGAAGGAAGAGAGACAAAUAUCCAGUAAUAUUAGGCCUGAGGCAUGCAUGUUAGCCAGAAACGGGUUUGCCAAUGGAAUUAGAAUAACAGCUCCUAUGCUAAGUGCUUUACGAGUACUAACUUAAUCCUCCCAGUAAUUCUUGGGGAUACGUAACUUUUUAUCACUCCUGUUUCACAGGUAGAAAACUGGAGAUACAGGUUUAAAAACUUACCCUGAUCAUGUAGCUAAUAAACGGCAGAGUCAGGAUACGAACCCAGCUGUAAAAAAUCUGGACUCCUAAAAAUGCUCAGGACCUUUUAGCUACAGUGUUCAUCUCGCACAGAGGCCAGCCUUUCGGUUGAGAAGGAAGAACGGAGGACUUGUUUUCAGGUUGAAACUGAAGGCUUGUGGUCUCCCUGGCCUGGAAGCCUUGUCUGCUCCCUUAGACAGCUCUGCAUGUCUGACCUGUGAUUGGAAAUGCUGACUCUGAAAGGUCUAGAAGAUUAGGAUGUCGUGGCCUGCUACUUAAGCACUGCACAGUCAUGUCACUGCAACUCAAAGCAGCGAAUGAGUUUCACCACAGUUUCCAAGGAAGUAAGGAAUGGUCUGCAUGCGUUGUAAAGGGUAGCCUAGAACUGGAGGGUGACUGUUCGGCUCAGUCAGGUCCUCACUCUUGUGGACUUGGACCAGAAGACAGUUAAGUCACAAUAACAGGAGGAGACACAGAAACUGAGACUCGCCAAGAAACCCUAAUGGCAGAGCAUUCACACUGGAUGGCCAUCGCUGAGAGGCUGAUCACGUGAU